GUUGCUAUGGGCAACUUUUCCUUUGCACAGAAUUUGAUAAUUCUCCCCCAAAGUGUGGACAAAGGGGAGAGAAUACUUGGAGGGCAGCGCACACAGGCUGGAGAUAGUGAGUGAUACGCUUUACAACAGGACCCAUGGACAACAAUAGACAGGACCUGUCCCAUUCAGAUGAAUUGAAGACGCUGUUAGAGGUCAUUCUACAGGGAAGGGGAAUGCUAAUCUCUUCUGUGAAUGGAGGUGGAUCCAGUGUUAUCUAUCUACUGGAUAUCAUUGGAUGAAAAAUGUGUUAAGACUAAGAUACAGUUUCUGUGACCCUGAAACUCCUGGAGAGAUCUUCCCGAGUCCGUCUCCC
Hyla sarda is the source of this 352-nucleotide long non-coding RNA. RefSeq lists it as uncharacterized. The record is from RefSeq and is a predicted model, not a curated record. NCBI's taxonomy places the organism in Eukaryota, Metazoa, Chordata, Amphibia, Anura, Hylidae. The transcript has 3 exons.